GACGAACGCUGGCGGCGUGCUUAACACAUGCAAGUCGAACGGAAAGGCCUGCUUUCCCUUGUGGAUUGCGGGUACUCGAGUGGCGAACGGGUGAGUAACACGUGAGUGAUCUGCCCCCAACUUGGGUAUAAGCCUGGGAAACUGGGUCUAAUUCCCGAUAGGACUGCAGGGUGGUGCCUGUGGUGGAAAACGAUUUUCUAGUGGUUGGGGAUGAGCUCGCGGCCUAUCAGCUUGUUGGUGGGGUAAUGGCCUACCAAGGCGGCGACGGGUAGCCGGCCUGGGAGGGUGGACGGCCACAUUGGGACUGGGAUACGGCCCAGACUCCUACGGGAGGCAGCAGUGGGGAAUAUUGCACAAUGGGCGGAAGCCUGAUGCAGCGACGCCGCGUGGGGGAUGACGGCCUUCGGGUUGUAAACUCCUUUCGACCGCGAGGAAGCCACCUGGUUGGAAGGGUGGUGACGGUAGUGGUAGAAGAAGCACCGGCUAACUACGUGC
Molecule: ribosomal RNA, 495 nt
Filed under: uncultured bacterium
Lineage: Bacteria
Description: partial 16S ribosomal RNA
Rfam family: Bacterial small subunit ribosomal RNA
Source: RNAcentral